Molecule: long non-coding RNA, 10537 nt
Filed under: Gallus gallus (chicken)
Lineage: Eukaryota; Metazoa; Chordata; Aves; Galliformes; Phasianidae
Description: lncRNA (ENSGALG00010027598.1)
Source: RNAcentral
AAAGCCUGUUCCAAUGCAUUACCACUCUUCCUGAGAAGAUGAGAUAUGGUGGGAGUACCUGGUGACUUUCCUGGGCUUUGGGGCAUGGCAAAUCACAGAAUCACAGUAUUGUAGAGGUUGGAUGGGACCUCUGGAGAUGAUCUAUGCCAACCUCCUACUAAAGCUGGUUCCCUGCAGCAGGUUGCCAUGUUAGGGCUUAGUGCUGGAGGUGAGCACAAGGGCAGCACCAGCUCCAUCAUUACUGUGCUGCAGGUCAACCGAUCCAUAACUCAGGCAAAGCAUUUCUUACAGCAGAGAAGUACAAGCCGAAGAAUUCGACUGGCCAGAUUGGAAUUGUCUUUUUGUCCUUUUGGAAAAAGAACAGCAUAGCAAUUCUUUCACUUUGCCCUCUCCCGUGCUUUACCGGUAGCUGCACUGAAGCUGAUUGAUUAGUUUAAUAACAAGCAGUUGAUAUGCAGCCAUAAAAUUAUGCACUUUUACUCAUCAGCCUGAUUGAAUUCCUCUGCUGACUGUACUGGAACAGCAUGGCAGAGCUAUAAUAAUGAGGGAAGGAGCCAAGGGAAAAGGCAGUGCACUGCUGUUAUUGUUGUUGUUGUAGAGCUGGGGAAGAAAGUGACUCCAGGGAGGAGCUUUUCCAAAAUAAAUACCAAAAUACAGAGGGAAAAUGUUAAGAUGUAAUUAGCCUUGGUAUAAAUGACACUAAACGCCUACUGGGAUUGGAGCUGCUCUGACACCCACCUGGCCUAUGUUGGGGCUGCAGGAGGCUGGAGCCCAGUGGUGCUGGCCCCAGUGAACCCCCAGGUCCUCAAAUAGGGUGAGAGGGGCUGGGCCCUUUGCAAGGCAACCCAGUCUGAUGGGAAGAAAUGGGAGUUCAUGGCCCAUUCUGGCCACGAAGGGAAGGAUGACAUGAUGGAGCUGGGUAAAACAUGCAUGCGAAGCGUUUGCCCCCACCAAGCCCAUGAGAAUGGCAUAUAUGGGGAGAAGACAGCGUGAAUUGAAGGAUCAGCAGGGGCAAGCUUGAGCUGAUGGAAAGCCACGCAGCCCCAUCCAUGCACGGAGACUGGCAUUUAAAACUUCCCAAUAGAAUAUUUCCCAGUGCUGCUCAGCACUCCGGCAUGGCUCGCUCAGCCGAUGGGCUCACUGUCCUGCACACAUUUAUUCAUAAAACUAAUUGGUCUGUGAAUAGGUUGUCUGCUUCUUGUGCCUCUGCUGGUGUCAUUGCUGAGAAACCUUUUAAUUGAACCACUCACAGGCUGCAUUCCCAGCAUGAGCACUGUGCACAGGGAGGCUGGCUGCCUUGGGGCCAUAUCCAGCCUCCAUCGGAGGACCCAAUCCAUAAUUAUCAGGUUCUUCCCUUUGGAACAGAUGUCCCUGAAGGACAGAGUGGGAUAAAGGGAGGGAACAAGUGCUGUUUGGCAAUUAUUAUCUCCCAGAAGAACGUUAGGCAAAUGCUUGCACAGCUUUUCUUGCCUUUCUCCCUGAUUGCACCACAUCCAUGCUGUUCCUGGAAGUGAUGCUUCUCCUUAUUUUCUCCAGUGGGCUUUGGGUCAGGCCAAACAUUUCUUGUAUGAUGCUGCUGGAGGUUACACACAGCUGAUACACCCAAUGGUGCUGCUUCUCCAGCUACCCUCUAGUUAUUAUGGGUGCCCUUGUCUGCGGUCCUUGGGUGGGCUUUCACCCUGGGUCCCCCUAUGCCUAUGGAGCACGUCCAGGGUACUGUCCAUCGAUAUUCCAUAUCAUAACAUCACACCAUAAGGAAACCAGGAAUUACAACCCCAGCAGCCCCAGUACUGAGAACGUAUGACAUGAUGCUAUGAUAUGGAAUGCUGACAAAAACCAUGAUGCUACAUACAGUAUGAGGGUGAAUCAGAUAUUGGGAAGAGGAUCCCCACACAAGCCAAGUCAAGUCAGGUCCUGGGUCACACACAGUUUGCAGCUGGAAGUCCUGCGUACUGUUUUCAGUCUUUAUUGCUGCGUGCCUCCCUAGCAGCCUGCAGCCCUCAUUAGACUUAGUGAAGGAAAACAUGGAGUGUGGAGAUGAAUUCAGAGCGCUGCUGGUGCUAGGGCAAUGCCUUGCUCCACUGCUAAGCACAGCCUAUAGCAGAAGUGAUAGUGCAUUCUUCUGCUCCAUCUAAAGCCAAAGGAGACCCCCACAAACUGCCAACAACUUUUCUUCCUGCAAGUGACAAUGGUGUUAAAAGCUGUCAGGGCUUCCUUAUGCAAUAAAGCUGAAAAACCAAAUUUCACUGCACCUUCAGGCUCCCCUUCCCCCUUUUUUUACCCCAGCCUCUUUUCAACCAAAGCAGAAGUCGAGGAGAAGUUAGCCCAGGGCAGAAGGAGGAAGGUGAGCAGUUGGGGUCAGGAGUCCAGGGAGAAGAUCCAUGGUGGGUAUCUUUAUCCAGGCUUGCAGUGCAGCAGAUCUCAGUCCUCCUUACAGCACUGGGUUACAGACAGAGCAGCACAUCUGGAUUCAUUCUGGGGAUGUCUCACAUUGUCUCCAUGGGUUCUCCUUCCGUUUCUUCAUAGGGAAGGGGAAGGGGAAGGGAAGGGAAGGGAAGGGAAGGGAAGGGAAGGGAAGGGAAGGGAAGGGAAGGGAAGGGAAGGGAAGGGAAGGGAAGGGAAGGGAAGGGAAGGGAAGGGAAGGGAAGGGAAGGGAAGGGAAGGGAAGGGAAGGGAAGGGAAGGGAAGGGAAGGGAAGGGAAGGGAAGGGAAGGGAAGGGAAGGGAAGGGAAGGGAAGGGAAGGGAAGGGAAGGGGAACGAGAAGGGGGGAGAAGGGGAACGAGAAGGGGAAGGGAAGAGAACAGGAUUUAGGAAAAAGAUUUACUCAUACUUUUUAAAAGACUUUUUAUGGGAGGAAAGCGCAGUGAAGCAAAGCACAGGUUUCAGGCGUGCUUGCCUGUGUUUUCUCUCUGCAGAGGCAGCUCUCUGGCUGUGCACUGCAGGACAGUCACUGCCUGUGUUUGCUUCCAGCUCUGUGACCUCCUGCUCUCUCCAAAUGUCACUGCAGUGCUGAGCCCAGCUCCCCCCCGCAGCCCCUUCCGGGCAGGGACACGCUGAGCACCCACAGACUGGAAAGCCUCCAGCUUUCCCAGCUGCACUGGAUCAGAGUUGGGUCUUUCCUGGGCUUUGUUUUGCCGCUGCCCUUUAGCUAUCACUGCUAAACCCACGAUAAGACAAAUAUUUGCCCAGCACUGUGAGCUAUCGAUAGGUAAAUUGCCCUGCACGUCUCACACAGCAUGGGCAGGGGUGCGUGGGCUGGAGCCAGGAAAAUCCCCAUCUCCUCUGACCAAUUGCAGUUUAUGAAAGAUACCGAUUACCCCCCCAGGGAGCUCAUCUUCUGAUUCAGUGCUCAACUUGGCACGCGGGCAGCCUUGCUUUGUAAGUAUAAGGAUUUAUCUACCCUAACUGCAAACCCAGAGCAGCUGAUGGAAGCUGGGGCCUGCUUGUCCCCUCCUCCAGCAGAACGGACCGGAUAGGUCAGCUCAAGGUGCCUCCGUGGACUGCCAAGGUGGCACACAGGGUUUGGUGUGGGGGAAGACACGCUGCUGUCCUUCAAGUGCAUCCUAAUCAUCUGUCAGCUAAAAGCUCUCCCCAUGACCAGAUGGGACCGUCCUUUCUUGGAACACCACCAGCUAGUCAACACCUGUCUGAAGGCAACCAUUAAUUUUUCAUCCAGCACUGAAUUCAUCCAUCCCCACCACACCGAUCUCCUAAAUGGAGCAAUUUCAUUUUCAAUGCAUGAUAUUUCGUGCUCGGAAAUUACCAGCUGUGUAUUCAGGAGCACUAAUGCUAUUCUGCUACUACAGUGCAGGUUUCUCAGAUUGAAAGCUCUGUCAGCCAAAGUGUUUUAAUUUCUGCAUAUUAAAGACCGGAGCUCUUUUCCACUUGAAUUCAAUGGCUCAUAGUGGAUCCCCACCACUACCCACUCUUGGGUAAUGUUAGCUCAGAGAUGCGAAGGCAUGAAAGAUUCUCUGGCUCUGAGCUAGCAAUAAAUCUUAAAUGGAAUGUAGGUUUCUUUUUAUUAAUAGGUGUCCUUUGCUCCCUUUUCUCCUUUCUUUCUUCCUCAACACACAGCCCUACGCUGUUGCUCUCCACUUGUGCAAAUUCCUCAUUUGUCACUCCCAGCUCCCCGCAGCACUAUACAAGCUACUGAAAAAGCUCUCCUCCUCCUUUGUCACAUCAGUUCAAUCUGCUCCUGUCACACAAAAUCUGCUUUUGUUUUGCACUCGCUUUGCUUUACUCCUGCCCGUUUUGUUACCAGUUUGUUACCUUUCUGCUUGAAUUUCACAAUUUGCAGCCAAAGAGGAACCCAAAAGCCUUCCUACCCAGGAGCUUUUGUUAUCUGCCCACCUUUGUCUUCCUCCACAAAACCUGAGCAUGUCACAGGGGCGACAGAUCAACCCACUAUUUUUUUCCUCCGUCCCUCAGAAUAAUUUCCCAUCCACAUCUCCUGCCAAUUUAUUGCCUCCUCAAACUCACGGGGUCUCCGAAGCCUUUGCUGACCUGCGUAACUCCAUGUGAUGCUCCAUCUGUUGUUGACUUCUAUGUGUUUACUCGAUAAAGAGAAAUCUGAAAAAAAAAGAGGCUUGGAGGUCUGGCCAACAUCACUGUCAUUCCUCAAAAACAAGGCCUGCUGUGGAUAGAGCUCUGACACUGAUCUGCUCCAGCCUGCUCUGGUUCAACCCUGGGGAUGCUGGUUUUAGGUAUGGGGCACAUGGGUCGCUAUGGUAGAAGCUGCUCCUCAUGACAGCCCAUAACUCUCUGGUCUCAGUUUGGACCAGUCCCUGUGAACCUGUUUUAAUGGGGAUCAGACCUCAGUAUUUUGUCUUAACCAACGUUCUGCAUUCAGAUGUAGACUGGACCGAAGGUGUGUCCUGGUUUGUACAUACAUAAUUCCCUCUCUGUUCUGUCUCCAUAUAGGCAUACAAGAUGCCAACACUGGAACUGGACCUCCGGGUCAAGUAUAUUUAUACAUGUGUGUAUAUGCACAUGGCUGGUGAGGUGUAUUAAAAACAGUUUAUUUCAGAAAUAGCAUCAUUUUUCCUGGCGGAGGAGAACAGCUUUUCUUAUUUUCUGUGCCACUCAUAUUUUUGGUCUUAGCGAGGCAAAAUGCCAGGGAAUGACAACAUGUUUACCUAAGAGCAGCUAAAAGAGCUGCGUAGCAAUCAAGGUAUCGAGUGGGUUGGGCUGAAAAUAGAUCAGCUUGGAAGGAUUUUGGUCAGAAAUGUUCAGCAAGGGACUAGAUGGCUGUGAGCACUGGUAACAGCCUACAGAGACUUUCAUUUUGGAGGAAUAUAUCUCCACCUUGCUCCAACUAAUUGCUGCAAUGCUUUUGGACAGCAUCUGUGGUCUGCCUUGCUGACUCACUGCACCAUUUCCCCAUCUGCGAGGAGUGAAUUGUGCUCUUCUAUUCUUUGAGGUUUAGCUUUCUAGGUGAGGAGACACGUGGAGCAUCCCCUGCACCAAUGCUGAGCAAGGCUCAUGCUCCUUCCUCCAACCCUGAACCUUACUGUGAAACGAGAAUCGUUGUUGGGAACAAGAUAUCUGGGGAAUGGGAAACAUCUCUUUCUGCAAAAAUCUGUUUUGAAAUGUGUUUGCGACCCCACUGAGACAACACUGUGUCCUUUACCUCAGUCCUUCUGGAGUAAUUGUUUUUGUUUAAUCCUCGUAGCUCUCAUUAAGAAGUCCCCCAACUCUUCUCAAGACCAGGUUGUGUGGGGCACUGGGCAACCUGAUGCAGUGAGUGGCAACUGUGCCCAUGGCACUGGGGUUGGAGCUGGGUGGGCUGUAAGGUCCCUUCUAACCCAAGCCAUUCAAUGAUUCAAUAAUUCAAAUAUUCUAUGAUUCUAUGACGAAGUUUUGUCUCUGCCUUCCUUGAUGAGCAGACAGGCUCUGCCCUGUGCCAAGCCUAACUGACCCACGUGAUUACCAAACUAUUUGCCCGUGGCUUCACAUAUCUCACUUUAUACACUACCUUGUGCCAGCUUUCAGCUCUGGGCAUGUCUGUUCCACUAUUGUGGCCCAGGGUCUGGCAUGUCUCUUGGCACCCUGACAGCCACGACAGAUUACAGCAGAAGUGUUCAGCAGGUCCAGGAAAGCUUUCAGCCUGCAAAAAGAAAACACGAACACGGCGCUGUCUUCUAAGGUGUGGGUAUGAGACAGGUCUGGUCCCGGACCCUGGGCUCAGGUCCAGGCAAUGUGAACAACAUCGCCAUGUCUUUGCAGUGCUGAUCUCUUCUGUCAUAAAAUCCAAGUCCUCUGAUGGUCAGGGUAUUCUAGCACAACUCAAACGCAACGACAUCGGCCAUGCAAUUCUUCUUAAAGAUCUUGCAAACACUAUAGGAGGAUCAGCACCUCGCCAGAUGACUUCUGCCCAUCAGAGAGACCGGCCAAUGGCCACACGUUGACAUCUCUAAGUGAGCCCCGAGGGGCUGGUUCCUCAGCCUUGGGCAGCCACGGGCUGCAGUUCUGUGGAAAACAAAUAGCAAAUAUAUGAAUAUGACCUUCCAUCAUCAAUCUGAUGGUCCUUCCUGGAUGCUGGGGGGGAAGCAUGAUGGGAUUUUCCUGCCCAGAAGCAACAAUAGACAGGGAUGUGUUCUUUUUCUCGAAUCCUUUAGUUGGAAGGGAAUGUGAAAGGCAAUGUCAAGUUUGGCAUAGAGACUACACUUAGGUUUUUAGCAUAUAACCAAACAUUACAGAUCUACAUGUUGUGAUGAGUGGACUAGGUGAUCUCAGUGGGUUUUUCCAACCUUAAUGACUCUAUGAUAACAUCUUUUCUCCUUCUGUGCUUGGCUAUCAGAAAUGGAGGAGUAGGUUGGAGGAUUACAUCCUUACCCGUGGCACAGCUAUGUGCAGUCUGGGAAAGACCUCGAGUCCCACCUGCAGAUUUGCAUUAGUGUGGAUGGAUUUCAGCUGUAGGAUGAUUUUUAGGCCACCCUAGAUGUCAUCAGGCAUUCAGAUUGGAGAAUCACUGCUUAAGAGAUGACAAUUUUGGAAACUUUUUUGGAAGCUUAUAAGACAUGGUGUAACUCCUGCAGGAACUUGGUUAGUUGCAUGGAACAGCUCAUGCACCUCCAGUUAUUAAAUCAGUAAUUUAACCUUAACUCUAAGCCCAUAGGUGCAACCACAGAACACUUCUUAGUAGAGGUUAUUCAUUACAUAGACAUUCUCAGUUUUGGCCUUGAAAUGGACAAAAGUCAUGAAAUUGGAGAUAUAGUAGUGCUGUUUCAGUGAUAAAAGGUAUCUGCCAAGAUCAGAGUCCCUGUGUGUUCAUAGCACCCAAAUUUUAGCUCCAGAUGGACUGUUUGGACAGGCUGCUCAACAUUUUGGGCAAAGGUAUUGCACGCAGCACAUUGACUAUGAUAAGCAGACACAGCUGCAGUCCAGCCCACUGGCUGCAGAGAUGCUGUAAGGAUGCUUCAUUUUAGCUUGCAGUGGGGACACAAAAGCACUCACUUGCUUGGGGCCCAGGAGCUUGAUCCUGCUCACCAGCAAGGUCCCCAGGUGCCCAAUAAUCUCUGCAUAAGUAAGGGCAGAUGUCAGCCCAUCAGCCAGUUCCAUACUUGUUUGCAUUUCAAUGUGCAUUUAAAAAAAAUACCAUGACUGGAUAACACUCUCCCAGAGACCACUUUAUGUCAUAUCAACUCAGUCUAAUGCCACAUUCAGAACUUCUUAGCAAACCUGGGAGAAUUAUUUGCAGGGCUACUGAAAUUCAAAGAAAAGCUUCAGUCAAGGACUCCUUGGGUUUUCCAGGCAGAGCUUGUGUAGUUAUCAUAGGAAUCCUGUUAUUUCACAGGAAAUAGUUUCUCAUCCUUGGAGGCGCUCAAGCCCCUGGGCUCAAGGUUGGAUAGGGCCCUGGGCAACUUUAUGCACUGGGAGGUAUCCUUGCCCAUGGCAGGGAGCUGGAACUGGAUGGUCUUUAUGGUUCCUUCCAGCCCAAGCCAUUCUAUGACAAUGGACACAAGAGAAUCCAUCCAGGGGCUGUUGGCUGUACAUCUAGGGAAGGUCAGGACACUUAGGAGAAUCAAUUGUCCUUCUAAGCACCAGUCCUAUGGCUUCCCAAGGAGCGAGGAGAUCAGUUAGUGACCCCAGUGGCUCACUCCCUAUAUAAUCUCAGACUGAUAACACUUUUUUAGAGGGUUUUCAAUAAGUGUCUACACCUCUUUGUCUUCUCUUCUCAGCUCCACACGCUCACGACAGGGACCUUGCUAUCUCCAGCCAAGGAAGGUGCUAAUGCACCACAAAUGUGCCAUUUCUCUGGCAUUUGGGUUAUCCGGGUCAGCAUCUCUGCAGGUCAGAUGCAUAUAGCAGCCAUGCUCCAGCGUGGACAUAAUAACCACGAUGUUGGGAGGCCCUGGCAGUGAUUGUAAGUUUGGUGACUUCAGCUGUUUGGACAAGGCACAUGCGUAGGUGUUGGAGGGCUCAUGAGUUGCUUCAUUAACAGACCCUGUCCCUGGCACAUCAGGCUUCACGCCGUGUGCUUUGCUUCCACACAGAGCAGUUCAUCCAUCUGGACAAGAGCAGGGUUGGCUACAAAGCCAAGCUGCAGGAGGGAGCAAGCAGUAAUCUUCAACCCAAACCAUCGCUGCUGUCGGAUGAAUCCCUAACCUGUGCUCCCAGCUGGCCAACAGGAGCUUGCAAGGCUAAUUUUAUGUCUCUAGCUUCAGGUUACAGCCUGGCACCUUAAAAUAAAUCAGCACUGAGUUUGGGUUAACUUAAAAAAAAAAAACCUGGGCGGCAGGUUAGGGAUGGAGAAGAAAAUACACUGUGGAAGACUUAAGUGAACAGAGAAAGAGGCAGCCCCAGCAAUGUUGUCAACCCAAGCAUGACUCUGGCAUUGGGAAGCAGCAAGGAUAGGAGCCCUUGGGCAAAGGGGCGGCUGAGAAGAGGAUGGGAGCCAUGAGCAAAGCACUGUGCCUCUGCUCUGGGUACAAACUGUGCUCUGCAGAAGCCAAUCUGAACCAUAGUUUCUCUUGUUGCCACUGUUUCUUGUUACCAGUGUUCCUCUUCUUUCUUGCUUUCCCCCUGCCAAAGGAGCAGUCGUCCUGAAAACUAGGAAUUAUUGUGGGGAGAAUUAUUUAGGAAAUGAUCCUUUUUUUUUUUUUUUUUUUUUUUUUUUUUUUUUUUUUUUUUUUUGCAAAAUGGGAAAUUAAAAGAAAAAAAGAUAAUCGGAUAUUUUCUCUGCUCAGGAACAGUGAGGGGAGAAAUGCCUGCAAGUAAGAAAUGCCUUCUCCUCGCUUUGUUGACUGCUGGAACAGAAGCAAAUGGAUGAAUCAGAAAUAAGGAAAAGCGAGUUGUGAGCAGUGAGUCCGAAGGCUGUCUGCUGCUCAUCUGCUUCCUCGGAGCAGGCAGUCUCCCAGGACAGCUUCAGGUAGCAUCUGACCAUGUCUCCCAGCUCAUCUGCGUGUGGGUUCGGGGUGUGCUGGAGCUCAGCUAAACCUGCCAGCCAUUUGGAGCUGGCUUCCCCGUGCACACGCCGAGGACAGCUCGGCUGGUUGGACAGAGCAUUGCAAAGCCGCUUUCUAGGAAAGAAGCUUUGCACAACAGAAGGGAAAAUAGGUCGUUGUCAAGGUUUAGGGCAUUUGCAGAAGAAAGUAAACAAGGGGGUGAGAUGGGAGGACGGCUCGGUUGUGAUCCCUGACAAACCUUUCCACAUGCACAAGGGAGGAAUCGGUGCCCCGUGACACCCACAGGUGCUCUUUGGGGCACAGCUUGCUCCUAUGCAUGGUGCACUUAGAGCAGAUGCACCCCCUGGCAACACUGCUGAUGGGAGCAGGAGGUUACGGGAUGGUGCUGAGCAGUUUGCUGGGGCAAGCAGAAGGCUCCAGGUCCACGGGUUUCACUGUGUGGGGGUUUCGGUGUCACAAUCUCUGGUUGUGCCCCAAGGGACCCUCUGGAGACUCCAACCAGGGCACCCCAGCAGCCUCUUCCCACUGGCUCCUCCUCACCGCAGUCCUACAGAAAUCCCCAAACCAAGACAACAAAUAACAACCACCAACCCACUGCAGAAGCACCACAAGUCCCUAAAAACACCCUCAGCCUUCCACCAGCAACACCCCCGGGAGAGCUCAGCCGCCUCCCUGUGUGCUCCCCAACCCCAUUACCACCCUACCGACCCCAGCGUGGAGUUGGGGCUGCGGGGGGGAGGUGAACAAGGUCGUGGGCUCAUGCACUGCCAAGGAACGCUCUGUGCUCACGGUCUGCAGGGCAGCGGGGGCUCCUCUCCCACCCCACACAUCUGCCAGCCGCCUGGCCCUGCCGCCAGCCGCCCCAGUACAUCUUGUUUGUGUUUUUCCGCGAGCACACUCCCAGCGGGUUAUGUCAGAGGUGAGGAAUGCAGGGCCACCCUGUGUCAUGAGAUCAGACUUACAUUUUUAGGCUGAAGGCUUUUUACCGUAUUUUCUGGGAAGCAGCGCGCCCGCGGGGCCCCGGAGGGGUGGGAGAGUUCCCUUCGCCUCCAUCCCUUCUUCCCAGCCCUCGGACGGGAGGAGCGGAUGGGGCCCGUCUGCUGGAACAAGCUCUCCCUCUGUUCCUUGC